RNAcentral lists this ribosomal RNA (253 nucleotides) under uncultured bacterium. RNAcentral's name for it is "partial 16S ribosomal RNA". It matches the Rfam family "Bacterial small subunit ribosomal RNA", at positions 524 to 776 of the family's 1533-position model. The record is from RNAcentral.
GACGUAGGGCGCGAGCGUUGUCCGGAUUUAUUGGGCGUAAAGAGCUCGUAGGCGGCUUGUCGCGUCGUCCGUGAAAACCUGGGGCUCAACCCCAGGCUUGCGGUCGAUACGGGCAGGCUAGAGUGCGGUAGGGGAGACUGGAAUUCCUGGUGUAGCGGUGAAAUGCGCAGAUAUCAGGAGGAACACCGGUGGCGAAGGCGGGUCUCUGGGCCGUAACUGACGCUGAGGAGCGAAAGCAUGGGGAGCGAACAGG